CUGCUGCCUUCCGUAGGAGUCUGGGCCGUGUCUCAGUCCCAAUGUGGCCGGCCAACCUCUCAGUCCGGCUACUGAUCGUCGCCUUGGUGGGCCGUUACCCCGCCAACCAGCUAAUCAGACGCGAGCUCAUCUCAGAGCGAUAAAUCUUUGGCGUCCAGAGAGAUGCCUCCCAGACGCGUCAUGCGGUAUUAGCGGCUGUUUCCAGCCGUUAUUCCCCACUCCAAGGCAGAUUGCUCACG
Molecule: ribosomal RNA, 239 nt
Filed under: uncultured bacterium
Lineage: Bacteria
Description: partial 16S ribosomal RNA
Source: RNAcentral